Molecule: ribosomal RNA, 233 nt
Filed under: uncultured bacterium
Lineage: Bacteria
Description: partial 16S ribosomal RNA
Rfam family: Bacterial small subunit ribosomal RNA
Source: RNAcentral
AUACGUAGGUGGCGAGCGGUUGUCCGGAAUUACUGGGUGUAAAGGGCGUGUAGGCGGGAAUGUAAGUCAGAUGUGAAAUCCCAGGGCUUAACCCUGGAGCUGCAUCUGAAACUAUGUUUCUUGAGUGUCGGAGAGGAAAGCGGAAUUCCUAGUGUAGCGGUGAAAUGCGUAGAUAUUAGGAGGAACACCAGUGGCGAAGGCGGCUUUCUGGACGAUAACUGACGCUGAGCGCG